Molecule: ribosomal RNA, 380 nt
Filed under: uncultured eukaryote
Lineage: Eukaryota
Description: partial 18S ribosomal RNA
Rfam family: Eukaryotic small subunit ribosomal RNA
Source: RNAcentral
CAAUAGCGUAUAUUAAAGUUGUUGCGGUUAAAAAGCUCGUAGUUGGAUUUCUGCCGAGGACGACCGGUCCGCCCUCCGGGUGAGUAUCUGGCUCGGCCUGGGCAUCUUCUUGGAGAACGUAACUGCACUUGGCUGUGUGGUGCGGUAUUCAGGACUUUUACUUUGAGGAAAUUAGAGUGUUUCAAGCAGGCACACGCCUUGAAUACAUUAGCAUGGAAUAAUAAGAUAGGACCUCGGUUCUAUUUUGUUGGUUUCUAGAGCUGAGGUAAUGAUUAAUAGGGAUAGUUGGGGGCAUUCGUAUUUAACUGUCAGAGGUGAAAUUCUUGGAUUUACGGAAGAUAAACUACUGCGAAAGCAUUCGGCAAGGAUGUUUUCGUUAA